GAUCUCAAUGAACUUUAUCUAGUAUAAAGUGAGAUAUCCGAAUAUUGAUCAUUAUCAUCAGGUAGACAUUGGAAGAUUCGUUGAUAGGUAAACAAACUGGUCACGGGGUUCAUGACUGGGUGGAGCCUUCUUCUCUCCGAGGCAUCCAGGGGUAUCAAUAACCCCAGUGUUUCACCACAUAACCUUUUUUAAAAGCACUCUGAAAACAAACACACAGGAUGGACUGCCAGCACCAGGACUCACACUACAGUGCCAAGUCUCUGGACAGAGCAGGGAAGCUGGUAUUUUGAGGAUUUCAAGACCUGGAUUAGCUGUACCAUGAG
Molecule: long non-coding RNA, 323 nt
Organism: Myxocyprinus asiaticus (Chinese sucker)
Lineage: Eukaryota; Metazoa; Chordata; Actinopteri; Cypriniformes; Catostomidae
Exons: 3
Source: RefSeq, a predicted model, not a curated record